Molecule: long non-coding RNA, 2317 nt
Organism: Macaca fascicularis (crab-eating macaque)
Lineage: Eukaryota; Metazoa; Chordata; Mammalia; Primates; Cercopithecidae
Source: Ensembl
GUGGGAUUUGCAGAUUGCUUAGAUGGAGAGAUAAGGGAAAAGACAACAGUUAAAGCUGACUAGGGUCAUGGGACUUUUGAGGCUUCUAGAUAUGAUGGAGUCUAGUGUUCUGCCUUCUGGAGGGGCUGACCCUGUAUUAUCCCAGCAUAUCUAGGUCUGAGAAAAAUAACCUACAAGCCUGCCAAAAAUGCAUAGGCAGCGUUAAUUUUUACAAAGUGUAAGUGUGUGGUCAUUUUCUGUGACUUUUCUUGUUUCUUUUUUUAGAGACAGGGUCUUACUCUGUUGCUCAGGCUGUAGUGCAAUGGUGCAAUCAUAGCUUACUGCAGCCUCAAACUCUUGGGCUUAAGUGAUCCUUCCCCCUCAACUUCUUGAGUAGCUAGGACUACGGGUGUGUAUCACCACUCUCAGCUAUUUUUUUUUUGUAGAGACAAGGUCUCAUUAUGUUGCCCAGGCUGGUCUCAAACUCCUGGGCUCAAGCUAUCCUGCCUCAGCCUCCUGAAUUGUUGGAAUUACAGGCAUGAGCCACUGCACCUCGCCAUUUGCUGUUGCUUUUAAUAGUAGGUGCCAAUGAACUAACUUUGAAUUUAAUAAAACGUAAACAUUUGGGAAAAUUCUUCUAAUCCCUGUAGGGGAUUACUUUGGUUGAGCCCUAGAUGUGAGUUACUACUUCAGAUCUGUUUGACUGUCUUGAUUUGUAAAGGCUAAUAGGAGAGUUUCUUAUUCUUUGACAUGGGAACAAAGCUCAGUAUCUUGUUUUACUUGAAAACAAAUCCAAGAAACUGUUUCCUCAGGGCUGGUAUGUAUGAGGAUGACGUCUAGUCUUGGAUAUGCAGCCUGCAGAAUCAAGCAAUGCAGCUCCGUGUCCCAGUGCUGAACGGUUUCUGUGGCCUUUUGACAGUUGUUAUGGGCAAUCAUCAAGCCACUUACCUUCCUUAGCAUACAAAAAAUAAAGCAAGUUUCCCAUAGUUGCCAUAUCAACACAAGGCCAGAUUCUGGAGGGCCUCAGGGGCAACGAUAUGCAGAACUGAGAAAAUUCAGAAAAACUUAAGAAUAAUUAUUCCAGUCCCACCCAACAUGUUAACAAUAAUAAACAUUGGUAACAGUUUGGUCUGUACUUUUCUAAUCUUUUUUCCCUAUGCAUUUAUGAUAUGCAAUAAAUGCUUUUAUUUUUAUACAAAAUCAGAAUUGUAAUUUGCAUAGUAUUUUGUUACCUCUCUGUAGCUACAUUUUCCCAUGGUUGUUUAAAAAGGAAUAGAAGAAAGGAAAACAACUUGUGAAAAUCCUAAGUUGUAUUUGAACAAGCAAGCUGUGUUUCCUCAUUAACAACAUUUACUUCGCAUUUGAUGGUCCAUAACUGCCCAGUUACCUCAGGAUGCCUCCAUAUGAUGAAAAUAAAAACAGAGUUGAAAGAAGUCUCCAUAAACACAACGCACAUUGGCAAAUGUCAUAUUCUUGUUCCUUGAGGGAUUAGAGAACACUUUCAUCUCUUUGCCUUUGCCCCCAAAGUAAAAGCUAUAAGCUUUUAUAAUUAAAUAAUAAGACUGAAUAACCAUAAACAUAAAUAAUAUGUAGUAUUAUGAGAAAUACUGGGAAAAAGGACAUUUACUGUGUGACUUAAAUUGAUUAAAGGGUUAUUCGGUUCAACUCUCUUGAAUCUAAUUAGUAUUUUUGUGUCAUUUAUUAUUAUAGGGCACACGUAUUUUCUACAUUUGAUUUAACUUGGCUAAAGUUAAAUGAGCAAAUGUUUAUUGCUAUGUCCAUUGUUUUCCUUUCUCUGUCAUUGUUAAAAAGAGGAGCCAUGGCUUCUCCUGCUUCUUCUGUGUCUUCUUCUCCAUUAGACCUUCUUCAUCCACCCUCUCCCCAUCCCUUUCAGCUCUAAAGGGUCUAUAAAUGAAAGUGGGUACAAGCUGAUUCAAUAGGACUUGUAUCUUACUAAAUAAUGUUUUAUUGUCUUUGUUCUAUGUAUUUGCAGAGAAAUUGUAUCUUUAAAACCAAUUAACAAAGCGCUGUGGUUCUUUCAAUCAAGACCUUUGUAAACAUCUCUACUGGCCCAUACUCCCCCAAAUUUCUUGUACAUAGUAGGAGAUUACAUUAAAUAAAGCACAUUAUAAGGUGCAGUGAGCUUUAUUCUAAAAAUAUUGUCUGGAUGUGAAAGUAAAUUCUUGUUCAUAAAGUGUUAUUAGAUUAAAAUUAUGGAGUAAGCAUUUGGCAAACUGAUUGACUCUUCUUUGGAAAGACCAGGCUUUUUAGGACACAUUUCUGUUCAUGCUUAAGGUCAGAAGUCAGUCAAAGGCAACCAGAAAAAAAAAAAAAAAAA